This 587-nucleotide ribosomal RNA is filed under the name Brefeldia maxima. Its description in RNAcentral is "SSU rRNA". It matches the Rfam family "Eukaryotic small subunit ribosomal RNA", at positions 41 to 554 of the family's 1831-position model. The record is from RNAcentral. Lineage: Eukaryota; Evosea; Eumycetozoa; Stemonitida; Stemonitidae.
AGAUUAAGCCAUGCAUGCCUUCGAAUAAGAGGUUGCAAUUCUCUCUGAAUCUGCGAACGGCUCCGCAAACCAGUUGUAAGAUCUAGCAGGUCCCGGCGUGGGGCCCCCGCUUUCGGGCGGGGAUCCUGCGCCAUCUAUAUGGAUACCCGUGGUAAUUCUGAGGCUAAUACAUGACAACAAACUUCUGUCGCCAGCGGCCUUUCGAGGCUGCGGGUGGUGGGGGGAUGUGUGAGCCAAGGCUUGGUAGACUGGAUAGAACGCACGUACUUGACUGCCAUAAAAAACGGGUGGGGUCCUGCCUUCCGAGGCUGGGGUCCUGCUCGGGCGGCUCCUGGACAUCGCAUCUGACCUAUCAAUUAGACGGCAGCUUAUGGGACAUGCUAUGGUGGCAACGGGUACAGAGGAUAAGGGUUCGAUCCUGGAGAGUGGGCCUGAGAGAUUGCUCAUACUUCUAAGGAAGGCAGCAGGCGCGCAACGUUCCCCUUGGACAAUGUCCGAGGGCGUUAGGGGACAUAUGAAUGGCUGCCUUAAUGGUGGCCAAUUCAAAUGGGUCUGUCGUAAACAGGCUCUCGAGUAACAAUUAGAGG